RNAcentral lists this ribosomal RNA (445 nucleotides) under uncultured bacterium. RNAcentral describes it as "bacterial SSU rRNA". It matches the Rfam family "Bacterial small subunit ribosomal RNA", at positions 29 to 518 of the family's 1533-position model. The record is from RNAcentral.
AACGAACGCUGGCGGCAUGCCUAACACAUGCAAGUCGAACGAGACCUUCGGGUCUAGUGGCGCACGGGUGCGUAACGCGUGGGAAUCUGCCCUUGGGUUCGGAAUAACAGCGAGAAAUUGCUGCUAAUACCGGAUGAUGACGUAAGUCCAAAGAUUUAUCGCCCAAGGAUGAGCCCGCGUAGGAUUAGCUAGUUGGUGAGGUAAAGGCUCACCAAGGCGACGAUCCUUAGCUGGUCUGAGAGGAUGAUCAGCCACACUGGGACUGAGACACGGCCCAGACUCCUACGGGAGGCAGCAGUGGGGAAUAUUGGACAAUGGGCGAAAGCCUGAUCCAGCAAUGCCGCGUGAGUGAUGAAGGCCUUAGGGUUGUAAAGCUCUUUUACCCGGGAUGAUAAUGACAGUACCGGGAGAAUAAGACUCCGGCUAACUCCGUGCCAGCAGCCGC